This 878-nucleotide unclassified non-coding RNA is filed under the name Hevea brasiliensis (rubber tree). The record is from RNAcentral. Lineage: Eukaryota; Viridiplantae; Streptophyta; Magnoliopsida; Malpighiales; Euphorbiaceae.
CCUCCUUGAGGCUUACUUUGAACAGAGGUUGGAAGUAAGAUUCCACCAUCUGUCUUCUCCUCUGCAACCUUAAUCUUCACAAGCACCCUAUCACCCAAGGGCUUAAUCGAAGUGUACUACAGAAGUUGAAGACCAUUGUAUAAGACAAGCUAGCAAAACCAUGUAACUCAAAAUAAAGCUAUUUAUCAACUCAAAAUUAACAAUUAAGUGUUUGAUGACUAUGGAAUGCUACAAAAAGUUAACUUCCAUCCUAUCAUAAAGGAAUAGCAGUGGCUCUCAAAAUUGAGAAGUAUUUCUCAAAUAACAUCGCACCAUUAACUAAUGUCAGACACAAAUGAAAAAGACAGUUCUAAAGCUACCCAAUUCAGUAUGAAUCCAGAAAACCAACCCCAAAUGUUUCUCAAACCAAAGUUCAAUGACUCUCAUUUGCACAAAGCAAAAUAAUAAUCCAUAAACUACAAAAAUAGACGAAAGAGCUCCUCAGUAGAUAAAGAAGUUACCUUAGGGGCAACCACAGUAGCAGCUUUCACGACCAAGCCCCGUAGAAACCGUUGGGAUACACCAUCUGCCUUCAAAGUACCGAAAUAUGCAAACUUGACUGUGGAAGGUCUUAACCCUUCAAAAGACAAGUUCCUGACUGAAACCGAAACUGAGGAUGCUGUGAGCUGAGCUGUAGCCAUUUCUGGACCUUUGACUUUGGGAUUUGGAGUGAUUAAGAGUUGAGCGAUGCUAUGAUAUUUGGUCGGAAAUGGAGUUGUUGGAGAAGGAGGGUAGAAGAUAAAAUAAAACCCUAUGAGCAAUGAAUUUCAGUUUGAGAAUGGGUUUUAUCAGUUGAUAAGAGAGACCUCUAGAAUUUUGUUGGUGUGUCGAGACUCCCA